UAAUUUUUAUGGAGAGUUUGAUCCUGGCUCAGGAUGAACGCUGGCGGCGUGCCUAAUACAUGCAAGUCGAGCGAACGGACGAGAAGCUUGCUUCUCUGAUGUUAGCGGCGGACGGGUGAGUAACACGUGGAUAACCUACCUAUAAGACUGGGAUAACUUCGGGAAACCGGAGCUAAUACCGGAUGAUAUUUUGAACCGCAUGGUUCAAAAGUGAAAGACGGUCUUGCUGUCACUUAUAGAUGGAUCCGCGCUGCAUUAGCUAGUUGGUAAGGUAACGGCUUACCAAGGCAACGAUGCAUAGCCGACCUGAGAGGGUGAUCGGCCACACUGGAACUGAGACACGGUCCAGACUCCUACGGGAGGCAGCAGUAGGGAAUCUUCCGCAAUGGGCGAAAGCCUGACGGAGCAACGCCGCGUGAGUGAUGAAGGUCUUCGGAUCGUAAAACUCUGUUAUUAGGGAAGAACAUAUGUGUAAGUAACUGUGCACAUCUUGACGGUACCUAAUCAGAAAGCCACGGCUAACUACGUGCCAGCAGCCGCGGUAAUACGUAGGUGGCAAGCGUUAUCCGGAAUUAUUGGGCGUAAAGCGCGCGUAGGCGGUUUUUUAAGUCUGAUGUGAAAGCCCACGGCUCAACCGUGGAGGGUCAUUGGAAACUGGAAAACUUGAGUGCAGAAGAGGAAAGUGGAAUUCCAUGUGUAGCGGUGAAAUGCGCAGAGAUAUGGAGGAACACCAGUGGCGAAGGCGACUUUCUGGUCUGUAACUGACGCUGAUGUGCGAAAGCGUGGGGAUCAAACAGGAUUAGAUACCCUGGUAGUCCACGCCGUAAACGAUGAGUGCUAAGUGUUAGGGGGUUUCCGCCCCUUAGUGCUGCAGCUAACGCAUUAAGCACUCCGCCUGGGGAGUACGACCGCAAGGUUGAAACUCAAAGGAAUUGACGGGGACCCGCACAAGCGGUGGAGCAUGUGGUUUAAUUCGAAGCAACGCGAAGAACCUUACCAAAUCUUGACAUCCUUUGACAACUCUAGAGAUAGAGCCUUCCCCUUCGGGGGACAAAGUGACAGGUGGUGCAUGGUUGUCGUCAGCUCGUGUCGUGAGAUGUUGGGUUAAGUCCCGCAACGAGCGCAACCCUUAAGCUUAGUUGCCAUCAUUAAGUUGGGCACUCUAAGUUGACUGCCGGUGACAAACCGGAGGAAGGUGGGGAUGACGUCAAAUCAUCAUGCCCCUUAUGAUUUGGGCUACACACGUGCUACAAUGGACAAUACAAAGGGCAGCGAAACCGCGAGGUCAAGCAAAUCCCAUAAAGUUGUUCUCAGUUCGGAUUGUAGUCUGCAACUCGACUACAUGAAGCUGGAAUCGCUAGUAAUCGUAGAUCAGCAUGCUACGGUGAAUACGUUCCCGGGUCUUGUACACACCGCCCGUCACACCACGAGAGUUUGUAACACCCGAAGCCGGUGGAGUAACCUUUUAGGAGCUAGCCGUCGAAGGUGGGACAAAUGAUUGGGGUGAAGUCGUAACAAGGUAGCCGUAUCGGAAGGUGCGGCUGGAUCACCUCCUUUCUAAG
This 1562-nucleotide ribosomal RNA is filed under the name Staphylococcus aureus subsp. aureus T0131. RNAcentral describes it as "16S ribosomal RNA". It matches the Rfam family "Bacterial small subunit ribosomal RNA". Lineage: Bacteria; Bacillati; Bacillota; Bacilli; Caryophanales; Staphylococcaceae. The record is from RNAcentral.